CCUACGGGUGGCAGCAGUGAGGAAUAUUGGGCAAUGGUCGGGAGACUGAACCAGCCAAGCCGCGUGAGGGAUGAAGGUACAGAGUAGCGUAAACCUCUUUUUUCAGAGAACAAAGGCGGGGACGUGUCCCCGAAUGAGUGGAGCUGAAGAAAAAGCAUGGGCUAACUCCGUGCAAGCAGCCACGGUAGUACGGAGGAUGCGAGCGUUAUCCGGAUGUAUUGGGGUAAAGGGGUGCGCUGGCGGUCUGUUAAGUCAGAGGUCAAAGCCCGGGGCUCAACCCCGUUCCGCCGUUGAAACUGGCAGGCUAGAGUUGGAGAGAAGUAUGCGGAAUGCGCGGUGUAGCGGUGAAAUGCAUAGAUAUCGCGCAGAACUCCGAUUGCGAAGGCAGCAUGCCGGCUCCACACUGACGCUGAGGCACGAAAGCGUGGGUAUCGAACAGGAUUAGAUACCCUUGUAGUC
RNAcentral lists this ribosomal RNA (459 nucleotides) under uncultured bacterium. Its description in RNAcentral is "partial 16S ribosomal RNA". It matches the Rfam family "Bacterial small subunit ribosomal RNA", at positions 338 to 795 of the family's 1533-position model. The record is from RNAcentral.